GAAACUGCGAAUGGCUCAUUAAAUCAGUUAUCGUGGAUUUGAUAGUACCCUACUACAUGGAGGCCUGUGGUAAUUCUAGAGCUAAUACAUGCGCAAAACCCCGACUUCGGAAGGGGUGUAUUUAUUAGAUAAAAAACCAAUGCCCUUCGGGGCUCCUUGGUGAUUCAUAAUAACUUCACGAAUCGCAUGGCCUUGCGCCGGCGAUGGGUCAUUCAAAUUUCUGCCCUAUCAACUUUCGAUGGUAGGAUAGUGGCCUACCAUGGUGGCAACGGGUAACGGGGAAUUAGGGUUCGAUUCCGGAGAGGGAGCCUGAGAAACGGCUACCACAUCCAAGGAAGGCAGCAGGCGCGCAAAUUACCCAAUCCCGAUACGGGGAGGUAGUGACAAUAAAUACUGAUACAGGGCUCUUUUGGGUCUUGUAAUUGGAAUGAGAACAAUCUAAACACCUUAACGAGGAACAAUUGGAGGGCAAGUCUGGUGCCAGCAGCCGCGGUAAUUCCAGCUCCAAUAGCGUAUAUUAAAGUUGUUGCAGUUAAAAAGCUCGUAGUUGAACCUUGGGCCCGUCCUGCCGGUCCGCCUCACCGCGAGUACUGGUCCGGAUGGGCCUUUCUUUCUGGGGAAUCCCAUGGCCUUCACUGGCUGUGGUGGGGGACCAGGACUUUUACUGUGAAAAAAUUAGAGUGUUCAAAGCAGGCCUUUGCUCGGAUACAUUAGCAUGGAAUAAUAGAAUAGGACGUGCGGUUCUAUUUUGUUGGUUUCUAGGACCGCCGUAAUGAUUAAUAGGGAUAGUCGGGGGCGUCAGUAUUCAGCUGUCAGAGGUGAAAUUCUUGGAUUUGCUGAAGACUAACUACUGCGAAAGCAUUCGCCAAGGAUGUUUUCAUUAAUCAGGGAACGAAAGUUAGGGGAUCGAAGACGAUCAGAUACCGUCGUAGUCUUAACCAUAAACUAUGCCGACUAGGGAUCGGGCGGGGUUUCUAUGAUGACCCGCUCGGCACCUUACGAGAAAUCAAAGUUUUUGGGUUCUGGGGGGAGUAUGGUCGCAAGGCUGAAACUUAAAGAAAUUGACGGAAGGGCACCACAAGGCGUGCGACUGCGGCUUAAUUUGACUCCACACGGGGAAACUCACCAGGUCCAGACAAAAUAAGGAUUGACAGAUUGAGAGCUCUUUCUUGAUCUUUUGGAUGGUGGCGCAUGGCCGUUCUUAGUUGGUGGAGUGAUUUGUCUGCUUAAUUGCGAUAACGAACGAGACCUCGGCCCCUUAAAUAGCCCGGUCCCCCGUUUACUCGGCCGCUGGCUUCUUAGCGCGGGACUAUCGGCUCAAGCCGAUGGAAGUACGUGGCAAUAACAGGUCUGUGAUGCCC
Molecule: ribosomal RNA, 1361 nt
Filed under: uncultured eukaryote
Lineage: Eukaryota
Description: SSU rRNA
Rfam family: Eukaryotic small subunit ribosomal RNA
Source: RNAcentral